This 497-nucleotide ribosomal RNA is filed under the name Fusarium proliferatum. Its description in RNAcentral is "eukaryotic LSU rRNA". The stretch from base 117 to 270 matches the Rfam family "5.8S ribosomal RNA". Lineage: Eukaryota; Fungi; Ascomycota; Sordariomycetes; Hypocreales; Nectriaceae. The record is from RNAcentral.
UACCAAUUGUUGCCUCGGCGGAUCAGCCCGCUCCCGGUAAAACGGGACGGCCCGCCAGAGGACCCCUAAACUCUGUUUCUAUAUGUAACUUCUGAGUAAAACCAUAAAUAAAUCAAAACUUUCAACAACGGAUCUCUUGGUUCUGGCAUCGAUGAAGAACGCAGCAAAAUGCGAUAAGUAAUGUGAAUUGCAGAAUUCAGUGAAUCAUCGAAUCUUUGAACGCACAUUGCGCCCGCCAGUAUUCUGGCGGGCAUGCCUGUUCGAGCGUCAUUUCAACCCUCAAGCCCCCGGGUUUGGUGUUGGGGAUCGGCGAGCCCUUGCGGCAAGCCGGCCCCGAAAUCUAGUGGCGGUCUCGCUGCAGCUUCCAUUGCGUAGUAGUAAAACCCUCGCAACUGGUACGCGGCGCGGCCAAGCCGUUAAACCCCCAACUUCUGAAUGUUGACCUCGGAUCAGGUAGGAAUACCCGCUGAACUUAAGCAUAUCAAUAAGCGGAGGAA